Molecule: ribosomal RNA, 1352 nt
Filed under: uncultured bacterium
Lineage: Bacteria
Description: bacterial SSU rRNA
Rfam family: Bacterial small subunit ribosomal RNA
Source: RNAcentral
AUUGAACGCUGGCGGCAUGCCUUACACAUGCAAGUCGAACGGCAGCACGGAGCUUGCUCUGGUGGCGAGUGGCGAACGGGUGAGUAAUAUAUCGGAACGUACCCUAGAGUGGGGGAUAACGUAGCGAAAGUUACGCUAAUACCGCAUACGAUCUAAGGAUGAAAGUGGGGGAUCGCAAGACCUCAUGCUCGUGGAGCGGCCGAUAUCUGAUUAGCUAGUUGGUAGGGUAAAAGCCUACCAAGGCAUCGAUCAGUAGCUGGUCUGAGAGGACGACCAGCCACACUGGAACUGAGACACGGUCCAGACUCCUACGGGAGGCAGCAGUGGGGAAUUUUGGACAAUGGGCGAAAGCCUGAUCCAGCAAUGCCGCGUGAGUGAAGAAGGCCUUCGGGUUGUAAAGCUCUUUUGUCAGGGAAGAAACGGUGAAAGCUAAUAUCUCUUGCUAAUGACGGUACCUGAAGAAUAAGCACCGGCUAACUACGUGCCAGCAGCCGCGGUAAUACGUAGGGUGCAAGCGUUAAUCGGAAUUACUGGGCGUAAAGCGUGCGCAGGCGGUUUUGUAAGUCUGAUGUGAAAUCCCCGGGCUCAACCUGGGAAUUGCAUUGGAGACUGCAAGGCUAGAAUCUGGCAGAGGGGGGUAGAAUUCCACGUGUAGCAGUGAAAUGCGUAGAUAUGUGGAGGAACACCGAUGGCGAAGGCAGCCCCCUGGGUCAAGAUUGACGCUCAUGCACGAAAGCGUGGGGAGCAAACAGGAUUAGAUACCCUGGUAGUCCACGCCCUAAACGAUGUCUACUAGUUGUCGGGUCUUAAUUGACUUGGUAACGCAGCUAACGCGUGAAGUAGACCGCCUGGGGAGUACGGUCGCAAGAUUAAAACUCAAAGGAAUUGACGGGGACCCGCACAAGCGGUGGAUGAUGUGGAUUAAUUCGAUGCAACGCGAAAAACCUUACCUACCCUUGACAUGGCUGGAAUCCUCGAGAGAUUGAGGAGUGCUCGAAAGAGAACCAGUACACAGGUGCUGCAUGGCUGUCGUCAGCUCGUGUCGUGAGAUGUUGGGUUAAGUCCCGCAACGAGCGCAACCCUUGUCAUUAGUUGCUACGAAAGGGCACUCUAAUGAGACUGCCGGCGACAAACCGGAGGAAGGUGGGGAUGACGUCAAGUCCUCAUGGCCCUUAUGGGUAGGGCUUCACACGUCAUACAAUGGUACAUACAGAGCGCCGCCAACCCGCGAGGGGGAGCUAAUCGCAGAAAGUGUAUCGUAGUCCGGAUUGUAGUCUGCAACUCGACUGCAUGAAGUUGGAAUCGCUAGUAAUCGCGGAUCAGCAUGUCGCGGUGAAUACGUUCCCGGGUCU